CAGCAGUAGCCACGGUAAUACAGAGGGUGCGAGCGUUAAUCGGAUUUACUGGGCGUAAAGCGUGCGUAGGCGGCUUUUUAAGUCGGAUGUGAAAUCCCUGAGCUUAACUUAGGAAUUGCAUUCGAUACUGGGAAGCUAGAGUAUGGGAGAGGAUGGUAGAAUUCCAGGUGUAGCGGUGAAAUGCGUAGAGAUCUGGAGGAAUACCGAUGGCGAAGGCAGCCAUCUGGCCUAAUACUGACGCUGAGGUACGAAAGCAUGGGGAGCAAACAGGAUUAGAGACCCCAGUAGUCCCUGUCUCUUAUAC
This 304-nucleotide ribosomal RNA is filed under the name uncultured bacterium. RNAcentral describes it as "partial 16S ribosomal RNA". It matches the Rfam family "Bacterial small subunit ribosomal RNA", at positions 506 to 807 of the family's 1533-position model. The record is from RNAcentral.